GUGGUAAAAGCUCCGGCGGUCAAAGAUGGGCAUGCGUGCCAUUAGUUAGUUGGUGAGGUUACGGCUCACCAAGACAACGAUGGCUAGGGGGUCUGAGAGGAUGAUCCCCCACACUGGUACUGAGACACGGACCAGACUCCUACGGGAGGCAGCAGUGAGGAAUAUUGGUCAAUGGACGCAAGUCUGAACCAGCCAUGCCGCGUGCAGGAUGAAUGCCCUAUGGGUUGUAAACUGCUUUUCUACAAGAAGAAACUUCCUGAUGUAUCAGGAACUGACGGUAUUGUAGGAAUAAGCAUCGGCUAACUCCGUGCCAGCAGCCGCGGUAAUACGGAGGAUGCAAGCGUUAUCCGGAUUCAUUGGGUUUAAAGGGUGCGUAGGCGGGGUAGUAAGUCAGUGGUGAAAGCCUGCGGCUUAACCGUAGAAUUGCCAUUGAUACUGCUAUUCUUGAGUGCAGUUGAGGUAGGCGGAAUGUGUAAUGUAGCGGUGAAAUGCUUAGAUAUUACACAGAACACCGAUUGCGUAGGCAGCUUACUAAACUGUAACUGACGCUGAGGCACGAAAGCGUGGGGAGCGAACAGGAUUCGAUACCCUGGUAGUCCACGCUGUAAACUAUGAUCACUCGCUGUUGGCGAUACAUUGUCAGCGGCUGAGCGAAAGCAUUAAGUGAUCCACCUGGGGAGUACGGCCGCAAGGUUGAAACUCAAAGGAAUUGACGGGGGCCCGCACAAGCGGUGGAACAUGUGGUUUAAUUCGAUGAUACGCGAGGAACCUUACCUGGGCUUAAAUGCAGAACGACGUACCGGGAAACUGGUACUCCCUUCGGGGCGGACUGCAAGGUGCUGCAUGGUUGUCGUCAGCUCGUGCCGUGAGGUGUCGGGUUAAGUCCCAUAACGAGCGCAACCCUCAUUGUUAGUUGCCAGCGAGUAAUGUCGGGGACUCUAACGAAACUGCCGGUGUAAACCGUGAGGAAGGUGGGGAUGACGUCAAAUCAGCACGGCCCUUAUGUCCAGGGCUACACACGUGUUACAAUGG
This 1032-nucleotide ribosomal RNA is filed under the name uncultured organism. RNAcentral describes it as "bacterial SSU rRNA". It matches the Rfam family "Bacterial small subunit ribosomal RNA", at positions 197 to 1233 of the family's 1533-position model. The record is from RNAcentral.